This 428-nucleotide ribosomal RNA is filed under the name uncultured bacterium. RNAcentral describes it as "bacterial SSU rRNA". It matches the Rfam family "Bacterial small subunit ribosomal RNA", at positions 355 to 774 of the family's 1533-position model. The record is from RNAcentral.
UGGGGAAUAUUGCGCAAUGGGCGAAAGCCUGACGCAGCAACGCCGUGUGAGGGAUGAAGGCUUUCGGGUCGUAAACCUCUGUCAGAAGGGAAGAACGGGUGAGGGUCUAACAGGCCUUUAUUUUGACGGUACCUUCAGAGGAAGCACCGGCUAACUCCGUGUCAGCAGCCGCGGUAAUACGGAGGGUGCAAGCGUUAUUCGGAAUUACUGGGCGUAAAGCGCACGUAGGCGGCCUUGUAAGUCAGGGGUGAAAUCCCACGGCUCAACCGUGGAACUGCCCUUGAAACUGCGGGGCUUGAAUCCUGGAGAGGGUGGCGGAAUUCCUGGUGUAGGAGUGAAAUCCGUAGAUAUCAGGAGGAACACGGGUGGCGAAGGCGGCCACCUGGACAGGCAUUGACGCUGAGGUGCGAAAGUGUGGGGAGCAAACA